GAUGAACGCUGGCGGCGUGCUUAACACAUGCAAGUCGAACGGAAAGGCCUCUUUCGGGGGGUACUCGAGUGGCGAACGGGUGAGUAACACGUGAGUAACCUGCCCUUGACUUUGGGAUAACUUCAGGAAACUGGGGCUAAUACCGGAUAGGAGCUCCUGCUGCAUGGUGGGGGUUGGAAAGUUUCGGCGGUUGGGGAUGGACUCGCGGCUUAUCAGCUUGUUGGUGGGGUAGUGGCUUACCAAGGCUUUGACGGGUAGCCGGCCUGAGAGGGUGACCGGCCACAUUGGGACUGAGAUACGGCCCAGACUCCUACGGGAGGCAGCAGGGGGGAAUAUUGCACAAUGGGUGGAAGCCUGAUGCAGCAACGCCGUGUGCGGGAUGACGGCCUUCGGGUUGUAAACCGCUUUCGCUCAUGACGAAGCUUUGUGUGACGGUAGUGGGUAAAGAAGCACCGGCUAACUACGUG
This 467-nucleotide ribosomal RNA is filed under the name uncultured bacterium. RNAcentral's name for it is "partial 16S ribosomal RNA". It matches the Rfam family "Bacterial small subunit ribosomal RNA", at positions 28 to 507 of the family's 1533-position model. The record is from RNAcentral.